GCUUGUCUCAAAGAUUAAGCCAUGCAUGUCUAAGUAUAAAUAUCUAUACUGUGAAACUGCGUAUGGCUCAUUAAAUCAGUUAUAGUUUAUUUGAUGAUACCCCACUACAUGGAUAACCGUAGUAAUUCUAGAGCUAAUACAUGCGUCAAAUCCCGACUUUUUGGAAGGGAUGUAUUUAUUAGGUACAGAACCAAUGCAAGCUCCGCUUGACCUUUUGGUGAUUCAUGGUAACCGAACGAAUCGCACGGCACCAGCUGGCGAUGGACCAUUUCAGUUUCUGACCUAUCAGCUUCCGACGGUAGGAUAUGGGCCUACCGUGGCAAUGACGGGUAACGGAGAAUUAGGGUUCGAUUCCGGAGAGGGAGCCUGAGAAACGGCUACCACAUCUAAGGAAGGCAGCAGG
Molecule: ribosomal RNA, 403 nt
Filed under: uncultured Gymnodinium
Lineage: Eukaryota; Dinophyceae; Gymnodiniales
Description: partial small subunit ribosomal RNA
Rfam family: Eukaryotic small subunit ribosomal RNA
Source: RNAcentral